This 399-nucleotide ribosomal RNA is filed under the name uncultured microorganism. RNAcentral's name for it is "bacterial SSU rRNA". It matches the Rfam family "Bacterial small subunit ribosomal RNA", at positions 9 to 399 of the family's 1533-position model. The record is from RNAcentral.
GAGUUUGAUCGUGGCUCAGGAUGAACGUUAGCGGCGUGCCUAACACAUGCAAGUCGAACGAACAGCCAGAAUCUUAGGAAUCUGGCGGGUUAGUGGCGCACGGGUGAGUAACACGUAGGUGACCUGCCCCGAAGUGGGGGACAACCACUGGAAACAGUGGCUAAUACCGCAUGUGCUUAGCCAUUCGGUUGGUUAAGUAAAGCUGAGGCGCUUCGGGAGGGGCCUGCGGUCGAUUAGCUAGUUGGUGAGGUAAUGGCUCACCAAGGCGAUGAUCGAUAGGGGGCGUGAGAGCGUGACCCCCCACACUGGGACGUGAGACACCGGCCCGACGACUCCUACCGGGAGGGCAGCAGUGAGGAAUAUUGCACAAUGGGCGGCAAGCCUGAUGCAGCAACGCCG